Molecule: ribosomal RNA, 253 nt
Filed under: uncultured bacterium
Lineage: Bacteria
Description: partial 16S ribosomal RNA
Rfam family: Bacterial small subunit ribosomal RNA
Source: RNAcentral
UACGGGGGGGGCAAGCGUUGUUCGGAAUUACUGGGCGUAAAGGGCUCGUAGGCGGCCAACUAAGUCGGACGUGAAAUCCCUCAGCUUAACUGGGGAACUGCGUCCGAUACUGGAUGGCUUGAGUUUGGGAGAGGGAAGCGGAAUUCCUGGUGUAGAGGUGAAAUUCGUAGAUAUCAGGAGGAACACCGGUGGCGAAGGCGGCUUCCUGGCCUAUUACUGACGUUCAGGUACGAAAGCGUGGGUAGCAAACAGG